CAAGCGGUGGAGCAUGUGGUUUAAUUCAAUGCAACGCGAAAAACCUUACCUGGUCUUGACAUCCACGGAAGUUUUCAAAAAUGAGAAUGUGCCUUCGGGAACCGUGAGACAAGUGCUGCAUGGCUGUCGUCAUCUCGUGUUGUGAAAUGUUGGGUUAAGUCCCGCAACGAGCGCAACCCUUAUCCUUUGUUGCCAGCGGUCCGGCCGGGAACUCAAAGGAGACUGCCAGUGAUAAACUGGAGGAAGGUGGGGAUGACGUCAAGUCAUCAUGGCCCUUACUACCAGGGCUACACACGUGCUACAAUGGCGCAUACAAAGAGAAGCAACCUCGAGAGAGCAACCGGACCUCAUAAAGUGCGUCGUACUCCGGAUAGGAGUCUGCAACUCUACUCCAUGAAAUCGGAAUCUCUAUUAAUCGUGGAUAACAAUGCCACGGUGAAUACAUUCCCGGGCCUUGUACACACC
RNAcentral lists this ribosomal RNA (465 nucleotides) under uncultured bacterium. RNAcentral's name for it is "bacterial SSU rRNA". It matches the Rfam family "Bacterial small subunit ribosomal RNA", at positions 926 to 1391 of the family's 1533-position model. The record is from RNAcentral.